UGUGGGCACGUUUGUUCCUGCACCGAGUGC
This 30-nucleotide non-coding RNA is filed under the name Homo sapiens (human). Lineage: Eukaryota; Metazoa; Chordata; Mammalia; Primates; Hominidae. The record is from RNAcentral.